UGAGUAUUAUUUCAUUAAUAAGAGUCUUUGAGAAAUAACUGAUGAAGUCCCAAGAAAAUUCCUCUAGUCAAGUUCUGAUCCAG
Molecule: small nucleolar RNA, 83 nt
Organism: Pteronotus mesoamericanus
Lineage: Eukaryota; Metazoa; Chordata; Mammalia; Chiroptera; Mormoopidae
Product: small nucleolar RNA SNORD20
Exons: 1
Source: RefSeq, a predicted model, not a curated record